This 398-nucleotide long non-coding RNA is filed under the name Nicotiana benthamiana. RNAcentral describes it as "long non-coding RNA (NBEN_LNC038032)". Lineage: Eukaryota; Viridiplantae; Streptophyta; Magnoliopsida; Solanales; Solanaceae. The record is from RNAcentral.
CCCAGGGUAGGGGUAAGGCUGCGUACACACUACCCUCCCCAGACACCACUGAGUGGUAUUGUACUGGGUCGUACUAGGCCACACACUUAGGUACAUGAUGUACAUGUUUUUGUCAUGGUUUUCAGUAUUUGGAGUAAGAAACAUGAUAAAUAUACAACAAGCUCGAUUUAUUAACCAAAUUUGUAGCAAGUCAAAAAGAUCACCAGCAUUAUUGAUUUUUGUAGUGUUGAAGAAGCAAAUGCAAUGUAUAAAGCACGUUCUCACUUAUGGGCUUUCAAAUGGCCACUUUUGAUGAUGAAGUGUGAGUGCUUUUGAAGAAUCUCUAGUUUAUCUUAUCUCGUAGUGAUUGACUACAUUGUAAUUCUAGAGAAAUUCUAGAAGUUGAGUAUUAUUUCUUC